GGGGUUUUAGCUCAGUUGGUUAGAGUACCUGCCUGUCACGCAGGGGGCCGCGGGUUCAAGUCCCGUAAACCCCG
RNAcentral lists this transfer RNA (74 nucleotides) under Spirochaetes bacterium ADurb.Bin218. RNAcentral's name for it is "tRNA-Asp". It matches the Rfam family "tRNA". Rfam says of the family: Transfer RNA (tRNA) molecules are approximately 80 nucleotides in length. Their secondary structure includes four short double-helical elements and three loops (D, anti-codon, and T loops). RNAcentral also lists the same sequence under 1 other name. Lineage: Bacteria; Pseudomonadati; Spirochaetota. The record is from RNAcentral.